RNAcentral lists this long non-coding RNA (1439 nucleotides) under Anas platyrhynchos platyrhynchos (common mallard). RNAcentral's name for it is "lncRNA (ENSAPLG00000028362.1)". The record is from RNAcentral. Lineage: Eukaryota; Metazoa; Chordata; Aves; Anseriformes; Anatidae.
CUGACAGGAGUGUCCCGGGGGGAGGCAGCAGGGCUGGGGAUGGCCUCAGGGCUCUCUUCUGGCUCCCAGGUGUCUUGGGAGCUCUCGAGCUCUGGCUCCCAGGUGUCUUGGGAGCCCUCGAUGUUUGGCUCCCAGGUGUCUUGGGAGCCCUCGAGGUCCGCCUCAGGGCCGUUGUCGAGCUGGCUGGCAGGACGCGGAUCCAGGAAUCCCAGGUGCUCGAGGUACUCCUUGCUGCAUAUCUGCAGCAUGAUGGAGAUGAGCCGCUGCACAAAGCUCAGCGUGUGGCCCUGCAGCAACGGCCGCAGCUCCUGCACCAAAGCCUGCUCAUCCAGCCCGCAGCGGCACAGCCAAGCGAUGACGGUGGCCUCCAGCAUGUCCUGGUCCCACCAGGCAGCGUUGAACAGCUCCCUGGCUUGCUGGCGCACCCAGGAGCGCAGCGGACCGAGGACUUCCAGGUGUUCCCUGAAGAGGGCCACCCAUUCCUCAGGCAGGAGGCCUCCCACGGCAGGCUGGGGCACCGGCUCCGCAGCCCCCUGCUCGUCCUGCUGGCUGUCAGCUUGGGCCUCUGCGUCGGGGACAAGCUGCACCUCCAGGAAGUCGUCUUCCGCCCAGAUGGAGUAGCAGAUGGAGGUGAUGCGCUGCCUGCAGAGGGGGCAGGUGCUGCUUCUCUUGGCCCAGCGCAUGAUGCACCCGAAGCAGAAGCGGUGCAGACAGGGGAGUACGUAGCUGGGCUCCUUGGGGGCCCCCUGGCACACAGGGCAGGUGACGUCCUUGGCCUCACUGGCCAUGGCGUCAGCUUGCUGCAGCGGGCUGGGGAGAGCUGCAGAUGGGGAGCUGCUUCCCCUGGCUGGCGCCGCUGCCACAGGUGCUGUGUGCUGCAAGAAGGAGAGAGGCCAGGGUCAGUGGCUGUGCCGGAGCGGGCAGCGGCAGUGCCCCGGCCCCUCAGCAGGACAAAACCCCAACGCGACCCCCGGGGCACGUGUCCCCGCACAGCUCACCUGCACUGCUGCGAGCGCUCCCCACACAGCCCCGGCUUCCUGAGCCAGGCAGGGCCGGGGAAACGCAGGCACUGGCUGCGGGGACGGGCACUGAGAGCAGCUGCCGACGGCCCCACAGCACAGCUCCAACAACUCCUCUCAAGAAAUCCUUGCUCGGCACUCCAAGCCUCGCACACACGCUCAGCGGGAGUCCAGGCACGAGCCAGGCUGGGCCAGGCUCUGACGGCGCCCCAAGAUAAGCAGGGAGGCCUGUGAGGUCACAGCCCAUCGCUAGGUGACCUCAGGGCCCAUCUCUCUGGGUGACCCCCAAAAACCAAAGCACGUGUCUGAAAGCACUUCCUAGACGUUUUGUGAACUCCAGCAGUUCACAAAACUUGCUGCCAUGACCACUUCACCGGGAGGCCUGUUUCAGUGCAAGCCCCAUGUUGGUGAAAAAUCUUU